AAUGAACGCUGGCGGCGCGCCUAAUACAUGCAAGUCGAGCGAGAAGACGUAGCAAUACGUUUGUAAAGCGGCGAACGGGUGAGGAAUACAUGGGUAACCUACCCUCGAGUGGGGAAGUAACUAGCCGAAAGGUUAGCUAAUACCGCGUACGCUUCUUGGACUUCGGUUCAGGGAGGAAAGACGAUGCCGAGGGUAUCGCGCUCUUGGAUGGGCUCAUGUCCUAUCAGCUUGUUGGGAGGU
Molecule: ribosomal RNA, 240 nt
Filed under: uncultured bacterium
Lineage: Bacteria
Description: partial 16S ribosomal RNA
Rfam family: Bacterial small subunit ribosomal RNA
Source: RNAcentral